GUCAGUGAAUAGUGAUGCAUUCUUUUUUUUAUUUGAGAAAUAGUGAUGCAUUCUUACUUGUACAGUUAUUGGCUAUUGGUCUUCUUCUUCUACAAAAAAAUCUUAUCGUGCAAUUAUUUAUUGGGUGGUCUAAAAUGGAAAUUGUCCGUGUUUACCAAAGGAAACUAGAGAGGUUCUUUGUUUUUGGAAGGCCACAAUGUUAUUGAUAGAAAAGUAGUAGAAUUUAUUGUGUUCUAUGCAAUUUCUCUAUUCAUGCAAAUAAUUUAUAGAUUUUUAUUCAAUU
This 283-nucleotide unclassified non-coding RNA is filed under the name Hevea brasiliensis (rubber tree). Lineage: Eukaryota; Viridiplantae; Streptophyta; Magnoliopsida; Malpighiales; Euphorbiaceae. The record is from RNAcentral.